AAAGCCAUUAACGCCUGUGUGCUAUUCCUUCAGUUCUCGCAUUAGGUCCACACACACACACACACACACACACACACACACACACACACACACACACACACACACACACACACACACACACACACACACACACACACACACACACACGGAGGACGGACAUUAAAAUGUGCCAUUUGGGGGAACGGAGCUGCUAUCUUCUCUCUGUUUUAAUUAUUGUCAUUACAGGAUAUAGUGCAGACAAGCGCUUGGGUUGUUUUCUCCCACUUUCCAUCUCUCACCCAGGACUCGCUCGGUGCUCGGCGGAGCCCGUCUGAGACGCUGAAUCAACCAUUGCAUGCAGCUCGGUUGUGCCCGCUGUGGCAGAUCAGCAGCACCAGCUUAUCACAGCCAGACUCUAUCUGCUUCCUAAAUGAAGUGGGUUGAUGAGCGAGUCGCAGAUAAACCUGCAAUCUGCGCAUACAAACAAACUGGCAACUUCAUCCACCGCCUCAGCCAGAUUCAACAGCAAUACAAGAAGAAGAAGAAGAAGAAGAAGCCAGCGUGACAUCAUCCCUCAUUCCCAGCUGAUGCCUCAUGUUUGUGAGGAUUUAGACGAGUGUAAUAAAGGCAAGAGGCUUCAUACGAGUCAAAUCAGCAGUGAUGUUCGGCUGAAGAUGGAAGACGCGCGCUGCUGACCAGACGACUCGAUGAUGGAGAAUCACUGCGUUAAGAUUCCUGAAAUGACUCAAGGAGGUACUGGUCCAAGGACGGGUCCGUUUCCUGACACUGACUGCAGUACAGCAGGAACCAAUGUGAAAGCUGAUAUAAUAUUAAUAAUAAUAAACACGGGCAGAGUUUGAGAAGCA
RNAcentral lists this long non-coding RNA (845 nucleotides) under Betta splendens (Siamese fighting fish). Its description in RNAcentral is "lncRNA (ENSBSLG00000010225.1)". The record is from RNAcentral. Lineage: Eukaryota; Metazoa; Chordata; Actinopteri; Anabantiformes; Osphronemidae.